CAUGCAAUGAAUAAUCUGAUGUUGGGGGAAAACACACACCUUGGACAUUUCCACCACGGUGCUAGAGAACCUGCAAAUUUGCGCACUGGAUGGUCUGAUCGUUGCAACCAGACUAUCCAGUGCUUUGAUUUUUCCCAGAAGACCUUUGAAUACCGAUCUAGGGAAGGAAACCCCCAGGACUGAUGUAUUUAGGGUUAUUUUAGUGUUGGCAAAAGAAGAACAUCUGGAUGAUAUUUGGACAAAAAGAGAAAUAAAUAAAAAGGCAG
RNAcentral lists this long non-coding RNA (266 nucleotides) under Sorghum bicolor (sorghum). RNAcentral describes it as "long non-coding RNA (SBIC_LNC001661)". Lineage: Eukaryota; Viridiplantae; Streptophyta; Magnoliopsida; Poales; Poaceae. The record is from RNAcentral.